AGGGCUUCGGCCCCGGUACAGUGGCGCACGGGUGAGUAACACGUAGGUAACCUACCCUCGAGUGGGGGAUAACCCUCCGAAAGGAGAGCUAAUACCGCAUGAGACCACGGCUCCCUCGGGAGCUGAGGUCAAAGCGGGCCUCUGCUUGCAAGCUCGCGCUUGAGGAUGGGCCUGCGGCCUAUCAGCUAGUUGGUGGGGUAAAAGCCCACCAAGGCAGAGACGGGUAGCUGGUCUGAGAGGAUGAACAGCCACACUGGAACUGAGACACGGUCCAGACUCCUACGGGAGGCAGCAGUGGGGAAUCUUGCGCAAUGGGCGAAAGCCUGACGCAGCGACGCCGCGUGAGUGAUGAAGGCCUUCGGG
This 363-nucleotide ribosomal RNA is filed under the name uncultured bacterium. RNAcentral's name for it is "bacterial SSU rRNA". It matches the Rfam family "Bacterial small subunit ribosomal RNA", at positions 74 to 422 of the family's 1533-position model. The record is from RNAcentral.